Molecule: non-coding RNA, 117 nt
Organism: Pan troglodytes (chimpanzee)
Lineage: Eukaryota; Metazoa; Chordata; Mammalia; Primates; Hominidae
Rfam family: Metazoan signal recognition particle RNA
About the family: The signal recognition particle (SRP) is a universally conserved ribonucleoprotein.
Source: Rfam
GCCGGGUGCGGUGGCUCAUGCCUGUAAUCCCAGCACUUUGGGAGGCUGAGGUGGGUGGAUCACCUGAGGUCAGGAGUUCAAGACCAGCCUGGCCAACAUGGUGAAACCCCAUCUCUA